This 66-nucleotide non-coding RNA is filed under the name Palpitomonas bilix. The record is from RNAcentral.
CCUGCCUACUCGCCGCAGCCGACCCAAUAUGGAGGUGGAGCAUACGGCGGUCAGCAAGGGUAUGGA